Long non-coding RNA from Toxorhynchites rutilus septentrionalis, 1199 nucleotides. RefSeq lists it as uncharacterized. NCBI's taxonomy places the organism in Eukaryota, Metazoa, Arthropoda, Insecta, Diptera, Culicidae. The transcript is spliced from 3 exons. The record is from RefSeq and is a predicted model, not a curated record.
UUCGAGCGGUUAUAGGUACAAUGUGGACCGAGCGACGGAAACUACUGGAAUCUAAUCCCGAUUUCCUUCCCGCAGGCUCAAUUACCUGUAUUGAGUGAAACGGCAUCACUGCAGCGAUUGAUUUUCUCUUUCUCGCUGAACUGUCAAAACACGGAUGCGAACAUUAUAAUAUUGAAGAAACAGUCUCAAAUAUCAACUGGUUUUUGUGUACUUAUUUUGCAGUUAGAAUACUUAUCGAUGCGGAAAAUAUUGCUAAAGUUUCUCUGCCUCGGAAGCAAGCAAAUAAAAAAACAGCAUAAGGAAUUCCCAAAUCGAAUUAUGGACAGAAUUGAAUUCCACGAUGGCAAAAUAAUGUUCCAUUAUUAUUGAGAGUAGCAGGAACAGCGAAAACAUGCAACUGAUUUGGAUGAUUGAAAGGAAGCUUAUGUGUAGUUUUAUCCCAAAUUCAACAAACGGCGAACAUCCUAGAAAAUAUAGCGAGUCAAAACAUUUUUUUAAUCUUUAUUUUUGAGACUGCCCAGGAGGCUGGUUCGUCUCAGGAUUCAAAACAUUAAAAAAAAUUUAAGCAUUAAAUUUGGCAAUUUGCACUUAACGAACAAUCGGGAAUGGCGAAGCUCUAGGAAGCGAAAAAACAGAAUGCUGGAUGCUGCGUAAGGUAUUUGGGAGAUCAUCGGUGCUCAAUACAAUACUGUACGUUCAGAAGAACAAAUGGCACUUGAAUAAUUGACAAGCACAAAUCUAUAUAUUAUUUAUGAUUAUGAGGAUGUGCCACUUUACUUCAAGAAAUCAACGCAAUCUCUAUGUUUCCUAUAAUCCCUAUAUAGAAAUAUAUGAAAAUGUAGAAUAGGUGGUUUAUUGCAAGUCUGUUUAACAUAAAACUGAAUUCGUAUCCAUGAUUCAACGUAUCCAACGUAUCCCGUAUCAAUGAUUUAUGCUAAAUGCUCCUGCUGUCGAUAUGUGAAUGUGACGAACACAAUCGAACGAGGAAAUUUCUGAUGAAUGAAAGCACCUGUUGGAAUUUCGUUUAUGACGAUACAAACGCUACGAAUGGUAUAGGAUAUCGUAACAGUGAAGAUUAACUGCUAUUCUAAGAGGUCGUUAUGUCUAGAUUUUUGCAUAUGGAUGCUGAGCAUGUUUUGCUUAUGAUCGAUGAGCUAGAGAAACGCCGGGCAAUAGCGACUAAAACGCACAAACACUAG